GGGCCCAUAGCUCAGGGGUUAGAGCAUCGGACUCAUAAUCCGCAGGUCGUAGGUUCAAAUCCUACUGGGCCCACCC
Molecule: transfer RNA, 76 nt
Filed under: Lewinellaceae bacterium SD302
Lineage: Bacteria; Pseudomonadati; Bacteroidota; Saprospiria; Saprospirales; Lewinellaceae
Description: tRNA-Met
Rfam family: tRNA
About the family: Transfer RNA (tRNA) molecules are approximately 80 nucleotides in length.
Source: RNAcentral